This 410-nucleotide ribosomal RNA is filed under the name uncultured bacterium. RNAcentral describes it as "bacterial SSU rRNA". It matches the Rfam family "Bacterial small subunit ribosomal RNA", at positions 355 to 775 of the family's 1533-position model. The record is from RNAcentral.
UGGGGAAUCUUGCGCAAUGGGCGAAAGCCUGACGCAGCGACGCCGCGUGGGGGAUGAAGGCCCUCGGGUUGUAAACCCCUUUCGGCAGGGAAGAAGCCGCAAGGUGACGGUACCUGCAGAAGAAGCCCCGGCCAACUACGUGCCAGCAGCCGCGGUAAGACGUAGGGGGCGAGCGUUGUCCGGAUUUAUUGGGCGUAAAGCGCGCGUAGGCGGCCGCAUAAGUCGGGUGUGAAAACCCGGGGCUCAACCCCGGGCCUGCAUUCGAUACUGUGCGGCUCGAGGCAGGUAGGGGAGAGUGGAAUUCCUGGUGUAGCGGUGAAAUGCGCAGAUAUCAGGAGGAACACCGGUGGCGAAGGCGGCUCUCUGGACCUGUCCUGACGCUCAGGCGCGAAAGCUAGGGGAGCAAACAG